Molecule: long non-coding RNA, 449 nt
Organism: Drosophila albomicans
Lineage: Eukaryota; Metazoa; Arthropoda; Insecta; Diptera; Drosophilidae
Exons: 3
Source: RefSeq, a predicted model, not a curated record
CUGUUCUUGUCAUAAAAUACAUUUAUUGUUCCUCGUCUAUACUUGUUUCAUGUAGUUUUUCAGAUAUUCGUCUGUUCAAAGCUCUGAAAAUAAACGAAGCUAUUUAAAAGAAGAUGGCAAACCCUGGCCCAUUUGAGAAUUGCAAGGAAAUGAUCAAAGCCUUGCCUAAGUCCCGACGUAGGCGUUUUAAAAACAUGAUGAUGCGUCGAAAGAUUGCUCUUGCUCGUGCUCGGCUAUUGAAAAAAAGAAUAUUUUAUGCAGUCCCUCGAUCCAAAAAAUCAAGCAAGCAGCGCAGCCAAUCCAAUGAUCGGCAGAGACCAAAAUAAAGUAUACAUCGGCCACAUCGAGAUGGUGUCCCAAGUGCGCAGCAAGAAAUGCUCUGCCAGCGUCAUUGCAGCGACGCGUCGCCAAUUGAUAAAAGAUAAAAAUAAAGAGUAGUAUUCAAGAAA